RNAcentral lists this transfer RNA (73 nucleotides) under Canis lupus familiaris (dog). It matches the Rfam family "tRNA". Rfam says of the family: Transfer RNA (tRNA) molecules are approximately 80 nucleotides in length. Their secondary structure includes four short double-helical elements and three loops (D, anti-codon, and T loops). RNAcentral also lists the same sequence under 1 other name. The record is from Rfam by way of RNAcentral. Lineage: Eukaryota; Metazoa; Chordata; Mammalia; Carnivora; Canidae.
GCGCGGCUGGCUCAGCAGGUAGAGCGAGUGACUCCUGAUCUCGGGGUUGGGGGUUCCAGCCCCACGCUGGGUC